ACGAACGCUGGCGGCGUGCUUAACACAUGCAAGUCGAACGGUGAAGGGACUGGUUUUGCUGGUCCUGGAUGAGUGGCGAACGGGUGAGUAACACGUGAGUAACCUGCCCCCUUCUUCUGGAUAACCGCAUGAAAGUGUGGCUAAUACGGGAUAUUCUGGGUCUGUCGCAUGGUGGGCCUGGGAAAGAUUGCGCCUUUUUUGGUGUUUUUGGUGGGGGAUGGGCUCGCGGCCUAUCAGCUUGUUGGUGGGGUGAUGGCCUACCAAGGCGGUGACGGGUAGCCGGCCUGAGAGGGUGGACGGUCACACUGGGACUGAGACACGGCCCAGACUCCUACGGGAGGCAGCAGUGGGGAAUAUUGCACAAUGGGCGCAAGCCUGAUGCAGCGACGCCGCGUGAGGGAUGGAGGCCUUCGGGUUGUGAACCUCUUUCGCCAGGGAAGCAGGCCUGACUCUUUUUGUGGGUGGGUUGACGGUAGCUGGAGAAGAAGCGCCGGCUAACUACGUG
RNAcentral lists this ribosomal RNA (505 nucleotides) under uncultured bacterium. RNAcentral's name for it is "partial 16S ribosomal RNA". It matches the Rfam family "Bacterial small subunit ribosomal RNA", at positions 29 to 507 of the family's 1533-position model. The record is from RNAcentral.